This is a long non-coding RNA of Sarcophilus harrisii (Tasmanian devil), 2554 nucleotides long. NCBI's taxonomy places the organism in Eukaryota, Metazoa, Chordata, Mammalia, Dasyuromorphia, Dasyuridae. The record is from Ensembl.
GCCAUAUUUAGAAUUUUGGGUAUGAAAGGCUAACAUUAACAAACUACAGCAUGACCAAAAGACAGCAACCAGGACUUGAAACCACAUCACAGAAAUAAUUCAAGGAAUUAGGGGCAGCUGAACCUUUAAAAAAAAAAAAAUGGGGGAUAAGGGAGGUGGUAAGAAGAUAGGUACACGACAUUGUAUAUAGGCCACAAGAUAGAUGUCUUAAUAUAUUUUGAGGACCGUCACCAAAAAACUCAGACAUGUUCUGUGUAUUUCCAAAAAGAACAAAGACUUUUAGCUCCAAAAUUUUAGCUCAAUAUAAGAUAUGACUCUCUAAAAAACCAAAGUACUCACAACUUGGAAAUAAAUGGCCUUCUUAAGCACAAAAAAAUCUCCUUUAAAAGUGUUUAAGCACAUAUUAGAUAAAAGACCACUGCAUUAGGAAAAGAGGCUUAACUAAAUGAGGUGGCCAUUUUCAGCUCUUACAAUUAUUUGUCUUGAUGAAUUUAUCGUCAACUUCGGGAGAAAGAUUGUUGAGAGCUGACUACAGAGGUCUCUAUUAGGUAAGUCACAUGCUCUUUGGGUCUUUUUUAUAUACAUAUAUAAAUAAAGGAUAUGGGCUAGAAUUUCCAAGUUCCCUUAAGCAUUAAAUUCAUGUAAUUAUAAUUAUUUUAUUAUAAAAGUUGAGCUAGGACAAGCUUGUCAGCUCUUGAAAGUUCUACCAGCAUUAACAACUUUUUAAACAACCAACAAUAAAAUAUCAGUAAUUUCAAGGAAGAAAGAGAUGGGAACAUCUCCCUCUUUAAUAGAUUCAGCCAUUUCAUCUUCAAAUCAUUACCUGCUUUGAGGAGCUAAGCAACAGCAAUAGGUAAUCAUUAGGAACUAUGAUUUUGUAAUUCCAACAAAAUUUCUCAAAUGAUGAAUACUGAAUAUGCCCCGGGAUUCAUUAAAAGGUGUUGUAAGUUUGCACAAAAUACUCUGAAAAACGUGAACUGUUAUAAGUUGCAAUUCAAUGUCUCACUGUGGUCUAAGGGUAUCUGCAGGCUUUUCAAAGGCUCAACACAGAGCACAGAUUCUAGUAACCAUUAUACCAAAAUGGAAAGGCUUCAAGUACAGGAUCAGUGAUGGGCUAUGUGACCAAAGACUAGCAUUGCUAAAUCCAAGAGGCUCAUCAUCAGGCUGGCUGCAAACUGAUGGCUAUUUUCGCUGCAAGAUACUACUGAAGAAAACAAAUAUUUUUGAGUCACAGAAAGGUCAUAAUCAAUGUCAGGAAAAGUACUCACAAGGGCAGAAUCACAGAUGUCUGAAAUAAAAAAAUGGAACACAGCACUGACUGUACUUAACAAUGAUCUGGCAGAUUCUUCCAGACUCCCAUUUACUGUAAUAAUGAGGAAACCAAAGGGCAGUAAGAAUAAAGUGAUGUGCCCCUGGUUACAUGAAUAUUAGUGGCAGGGUCAGUCCUAGAAUCUUUAACUAAUGUUUUUAUCCAUAUAACACUAGCUCUCCAGUUACUAAGUUAAAUCAGAAGUCUGAUAUAGCACUUAAAUUUGGAAGCAAGAGUAGGGAGAAGAAGGUUGUCUGUUUGUCAUUUCAGUGCAAUAUUAACCAUUCCCUCUGGUAAUAAAAAAUAGAAUUCCAGAUAUAUAAGAAAAAAGCAGGCUGCAAGACUCACGAGAAAAUAGAACAUGUGUUCCAAAAGUUUUAAAAAAAGAAAUCCUAAAUAAUAAAGAAAAAUCUAAUAUGAAAAUGCUUGGAUUUAACUUUAGGUAAUUAACAACGACAUCCACAAAAAUUCAUGCAUGUCAAUCUCCUAUUCAGUCCUAGAGCCUGCGGUAUUAUAAUUUAUUGUGAAACCAGAAAACCAAAUACUUAAAUAUAUCCACAACAUCUAUACCUUGAUAAUGCAUAGUACAUAAUAUACUAACAUCUCUAAAUAAAUUUCUAAUUACACAUCUAUGCAAAUUAUAAGAAUAUCAACUGCCAUGUAUAGAAAUAGCAGCAACUUCAUAAGAUUCCACUGCAAUGUAUUAGUCUGCAUCCUUAAUAAGAGCAAUGUGUUGUGCAUUAUCUGAAAAUCCCAAAUCAGAGCAUCAAGCUAAUACCUAAUGACUACAAUGUGCUGUUAAUUAAUACUACUGCAUAUGCAGAUGUUUAAAGCAGUUAAAUUACACAGUAGGGAAAAAUAAUCCUAAUUCACAGUUUCAAAAACAAAGGGUGCAGUUUUCAAAUAUCUUUGCUUCCCAUUAAAACUGGUCAUUUGGUGAAUCUAAUAAUGGCUGCCUCUUUCAGUAGAUGUAAAAUCCUAUAUUUGAAGAGCGUUAAGAGAUGCCAUUUAUUUUCAGAAGUCAGUUUUAUGUUAUACAAGCACCACACAUUGUAGGGAAGAGGCUACAGUGUGAAAUGAAGACUGCUUAAGUAUGUGUUUAAAAUUAGUCAACUAAGGAGUUGCUAGACAAGAAUUUUUUCUUCCCCCAGUACAAAUCCUAUAUUGAGGAAAAGCAAUUAAUGCUUUCCAAAAACAGUUUACACUCCAUAAAGGAGGAAAAAAACCCAAACAAACUAUUAGCUA